RNAcentral lists this transfer RNA (73 nucleotides) under Apaloderma vittatum (bar-tailed trogon). It matches the Rfam family "tRNA". Rfam says of the family: Transfer RNA (tRNA) molecules are approximately 80 nucleotides in length. Lineage: Eukaryota; Metazoa; Chordata; Aves; Trogoniformes; Trogonidae. The record is from Rfam by way of RNAcentral.
GGACGGUUAGCUCGGUCAGUUGAGCGCGGCUCUGACAACGCCAAAGACACGGGUUCAAUUCCCAUUUGGUCCC